AUUGCUGCACUUCUGAAAGAGAUCUUGGGGUACUAGUCGACUGCAGGCUAAACAUGAGUCAGCAGUGUGAUGCAGUCAGUGGUCAAGAGGGCAAACGCCACCCUUGGAUGCAUAGCCAGAAGUGUGGCUUCUAGACCGAGAGAAGUAUUACU
This is a long non-coding RNA of Varanus komodoensis (Komodo dragon), 152 nucleotides long. RefSeq lists it as uncharacterized. The record is from RefSeq and is a predicted model, not a curated record. The transcript has 3 exons. NCBI's taxonomy places the organism in Eukaryota, Metazoa, Chordata, Lepidosauria, Squamata, Varanidae.